AGGUUACUGCUAUCGGUGUUCGCCUAAGCCAUGCGAGUCAUAUGUUCUUCGUGAACAUGGCGUACUGCUCAGUAACACGUGGAUAACCUGCCCUUGGGUCCGGCAUAACCCCGGGAAACUGGGGAUAAUUCCGGAUAACGCACAUAUGCUGGAAUGCUUUAUGCGUCAAAUGGAUUCGUCCGCCCAAGGAUGGGUCUGCGGCCUAUCAGGUAGUAGUGGGUGUAAUGUACCUACUAGCCUACGACGGGUACGGGUUGUGAGAGCAAGAGCCCGGAGAUGGAUUCUGAGACAUGAAUCCAGGCCCUACGGGGCGCAGCAGGCGCGAAAACUUUACAAUGCGGGAAACCGUGAUAAGGGGACACCGAGUGCCAGCAUCAUAUGUUGGCUGUCCGGGUGUGUAAAAUACACCUGUUAGCAAGGGCCGGGCAAGACCGGUGCCAGCCGCCGCGGUAACACCGGCGGCCCGAGUGGUGAUCGUGAUUAUUGGGUCUAAAGGGUCCGUAGCCGGUUUGGUCAGUCCUCCGGGAAAUCUGACGGCUUAACCGUUAGGCUUUCGGGGGAUACUGCCAGACUUGGAACCGGGAGAGGUAAGAGGUACUACAGGGGUAGGAGUGAAAUCUUGUAAUCCCUGUGGGACCACCUGUGGCGAAGGCGUCUUACCAGAACGGGUUCGACGGUGAGGGACGAAAGCUGGGGGCACGAACCGGAUUAGAUACCCGGGUAGUCCCAGCCGUAAACGAUGCUCGCUAGGUGUCAGCAUGGCGCGACCGUGUCUGGUGCCGCAGGAAGCCGUGAAGCGAGCCACCUGGGAAGUACGGCCGCAAGGCUGAA
RNAcentral lists this ribosomal RNA (831 nucleotides) under uncultured soil archaeon. RNAcentral describes it as "bacterial SSU rRNA". It matches the Rfam family "Archaeal small subunit ribosomal RNA", at positions 21 to 853 of the family's 1478-position model. The record is from RNAcentral.